Molecule: ribosomal RNA, 467 nt
Filed under: uncultured bacterium
Lineage: Bacteria
Description: partial 16S ribosomal RNA
Rfam family: Bacterial small subunit ribosomal RNA
Source: RNAcentral
GACGAACGCUGGCGGCGUGCUUAACACAUGCAAGUCGAACGGAAAGGCCCUGCUUUUGUGGGGUGCUCGAGUGGCGAACGGGUGAGUAACACGUGAGUAACCUGCCCUUGACUUUGGGAUAACUUCAGGAAACUGGGGCUAAUACCGGAUAGGAGCUCCUGCUGCAUGGUGGGGGUUGGAAAGUUUCGGCGGUUGGGGAUGGACUCGCGGCUUAUCAGCUUGUUGGUGGGGUAGUGGCUUACCAAGGCUUUGACGGGUAGCCGGCCUGAGAGGGUGACCGGCUACAUUGGGAAUGAGAUACGGCCCAGACACCUACGGGAGGAAGCAAUGGGGAAUAUUGCACAAUGGGCGGAAGCCUCAUGCAGCAACGCAGCGUGCGGGAUGACGGCCUUCGGGUUGUAAACCGCUUUCGCCUGUGACGAAGCGUGAGUGACGGUAAUGGGUAAAGAAGCACCGGCUAACUACGU